RNAcentral lists this transfer RNA (62 nucleotides) under Leptocorisa acuta (rice earhead bug). RNAcentral describes it as "tRNA-Arg". Lineage: Eukaryota; Metazoa; Arthropoda; Insecta; Hemiptera; Alydidae. The record is from RNAcentral. RNAcentral also lists the same sequence under 3 other names.
AAGUAUUGAAGUAAUAAUUACAUUUAGUUUCGACCUAAAAAUAGAGAAAAUCUCCUUACUUA